AUUGAACGCUGGCGGCAGGCCUAACACAUGCAAGUCGAGCGGAUGAAGGGAGCUUGCUCCUGGAUUCAGCGGCGGACGGGUGAGUAAUGCCUAGGAAUCUGCCUGGUAGUGGGGGAUAACGUCCGGAAACGGGCGCUAAUACCGCAUACGUCCUGAGGGAGAAAGUGGGGGAUCUUCGGACCUCACGCUAUCAGAUGAGCCUAGGUCGGAUUAGCUAGUUGGUGGGGUAAAGGCCUACCAAGGCGACGAUCCGUAACUGGUCUGAGAGGAUGAUCAGUCACACUGGAACUGAGACACGGUCCAGACUCCUACGGGAGGCAGCAGUGGGGAAUAUUGGACAAUGGGCGAAAGCCUGAUCCAGCCAUGCCGCGUGUGUGAAGAAGGUCUUCGGGUUGUAAAGCACUUUAAGUUGGGAGGAAGGGCAGUAAGUUAAUACCUUGCUGUUUUGACGUUACAAACAGAAUAAGCACCGGCUAACUUCGU
RNAcentral lists this ribosomal RNA (483 nucleotides) under uncultured bacterium. RNAcentral describes it as "partial 16S ribosomal RNA". It matches the Rfam family "Bacterial small subunit ribosomal RNA", at positions 30 to 506 of the family's 1533-position model. The record is from RNAcentral.